GCCAUAUUGGUACAAGUCGGUUAGGACGAUACAGGUUACUGUAGAGGCCGGGGUUCGAAUCCUCGGCAUGGCA
Molecule: non-coding RNA, 73 nt
Organism: Neocallimastix lanati (nom. inval.)
Lineage: Eukaryota; Fungi; Neocallimastigomycota; Neocallimastigomycetes; Neocallimastigales; Neocallimastigaceae
Source: the annotation of a GenBank genome assembly